CCUACGGGCGGCAGCAGUGGGGAAUAUUGGACAAUGGGCGAAAGCCUGAUCCAGCCAUGCCGCGUGUGUGAAGAAGGCCUUCGGGUUGUAAAGCACCUUCAGUGGGGAAGAAAGCCUUGGGGCUAAUACCCUCGAGGAAGGACAUCACCCACAGAAGAAGCACCGGCUAACUCCGUGCCAGCAGCCGCGGUAAUACGGAGGGUGCGAGCGUUAAUCGGAAUUACUGGGCGUAAAGCGCGCGUAGGCGGUCUGAUAAGCCGGUUGUGAAAGCCCCGGGCUCAACCUGGGAACGGCAUCCGGAACUGUCAGGCUAGAGUGCAGGAGAGGAAGGUAGAAUUCCCGGUGUAGCGGUGAAAUGCGUAGAGAUCGGGAGGAAUACCAGUGGCGAAGGCGGCCUUCUGGACUGACACUGACGCUGAGGUGCGAAAGCGUGGGUAGCAAACAGGAUUAGAUACCCGGGUAGUC
This 465-nucleotide ribosomal RNA is filed under the name Vreelandella stevensii. RNAcentral describes it as "partial 16S ribosomal RNA". It matches the Rfam family "Bacterial small subunit ribosomal RNA", at positions 338 to 795 of the family's 1533-position model. The record is from RNAcentral. Lineage: Bacteria; Pseudomonadati; Pseudomonadota; Gammaproteobacteria; Oceanospirillales; Halomonadaceae.